RNAcentral lists this ribosomal RNA (506 nucleotides) under uncultured bacterium. RNAcentral describes it as "partial 16S ribosomal RNA". It matches the Rfam family "Bacterial small subunit ribosomal RNA", at positions 28 to 523 of the family's 1533-position model. The record is from RNAcentral.
GAUGAACGCUAGCUACAGGCUUAACACAUGCAAGUCGAGGGGUAACAAGAGGAAAGCUUGCUUUCCUUGUUGACGACCGGCGCACGGGUGAGUAACGCGUAUCCAACCUGCCUAUAACUAGGGAAUAACCUUGCGAAAGUAAGACUAAUACCCUAUGAUUUCCUUUGAUGACAUCAGAUUAGGAAUAAAGAUUUAUCGGUUAUAGAUGGGGAUGCGUCUGAUUAGCUUGUUGGAGGGGUAACGGCCCACCAAGGCAACGAUCAGUAGGGGUUCUGAGAGGAAGGUCCCCCACAUUGGAACUGAGACACGGUCCAAACUCCUACGGGAGGCAGCAGUGAGGAAUAUUGGUCAAUGGGCGGAAGCCUGAACCAGCCAAGUAGCGUGCAGGAUGACGGCCCUAUGGGUUGUAAACUGCUUUUAUACAGGAAUAAAGUUAGCCACGUGUGGUUAUUUGUAGGUACUGUAUGAAUAAGGACCGGCUAAUUCCGUGCCAGCAGCCGCGGUAA